UUUCCCCCUUUUACCAGUCUCUCUCUUUGAACUCACUCUCGCUCAUUCACUCUCUCACUCUCUUAAUUCCGAGUUCUCUCUUCAGCCCUGUAUUUUAUGUGUAUUGUUGAAUUUAGGAUAUCAUCCUUUAAUUUUAGAUAUAUAUUGCUAAUUUGGGGGUUUCCAGGUGAUUUAGGGUUUGAUGUUUCGACUUCGAUUCACGGUGACUUCAUCAUGUCCAACUCUAUUCCUGCUUUCAAUCGGUUAUUUUAGUUGUGAGCAUCGUGUUAUAUCGUGUUGAAUGCAAGCAUUUUGAUAGAGACAAAUUCCCUGAUUUUAUUUGGUUUUAUGACAAACCAAGCCCAGUUCAAUUUCAGAUUCAUGAAGUAGGCUGAACUCAACCAAGGUGUGUGGCUGCAAUGAGUGUUGCCAAAAGAGUAAGCGAAGAGAUGGAAACUGAACUUGGUGAUCUAGUUGGUUAUGUGCAAUUCGUUUCGAGGAUGUGACUGGGCCAAACACUGUAAUAAAGUAUAUGACUGAAGGUGUGCUUUUGCGUGAGACACUGAAAGAUGAUGAUCUUGACAAAUAUCGGUAUGAAGUUGGACUACUCUCUUGUACAGAUUAUCGUUCUGUUUUUAGUAUGUAGUUACAGUGUGCAUGGAAAUUAACUGUUUUAUGGAACUGCAGUGUCGUAAUGGAUGAAGUUCACUUAGAUGUACUCCCCUAUCUUGCGUAAAUAUCCUAGUUUUACUUUUAUAUUUUCUUGGUCUCUGAAUCCCUUUGCUAUGUAUCGAAUGCUUUAUUUAUUUUUGUUCUGAACGCUUAAUAUUGUAUUACAUGUUUUUGAGUUGGAUACUCUAGUUCAUGUGAUUAUCAGAUUCUGGAAGAAGACCUUUUAAAAUACUAGAAGAGUGAUGAUCAAACAUCAGGUUCUGAAGUGCAAAGGCCUUGUACAGUGGAUGUGCAUAUCAUUUGAGGCUGUGUGCCAUAAUGUGUACUGGGACGUUUUUUUGGCCAAUGAUAACUAGUUUCUGAAUUAUCUAGGGGACUUGUAGUUCUUUUUAUGAUAUCGAUGUAAUCGUAAUGUCCGAAUAGCUUAACUUUUGUGGUUUGUAAUAAAUGUUUGUGUUGAAAGUUAUGUGUAUUUUAAGUUUAA
Daucus carota subsp. sativus is the source of this 1135-nucleotide long non-coding RNA. RefSeq lists it as uncharacterized. The transcript has 4 exons. Lineage: Eukaryota; Viridiplantae; Streptophyta; Magnoliopsida; Apiales; Apiaceae. The record is from RefSeq and is a predicted model, not a curated record.